This is a long non-coding RNA of Mastomys coucha (southern multimammate mouse), 389 nucleotides long. RefSeq lists it as uncharacterized. Lineage: Eukaryota; Metazoa; Chordata; Mammalia; Rodentia; Muridae. The record is from RefSeq and is a predicted model, not a curated record. The transcript has 3 exons.
CAGUGUUUUUGGGUCCCUCUAGUCUUGCCCAAGCUGUGCGGACAGACAUGGAGAGCUGGGUCCAAACCUGAGAACUGAUUCACUCUGCUGACUCAACCAUCCAGUCUAAUGGUGUCUCAGGCAGUAGUGGCAACUCUGCUGUGGCUCUGGUUUCUGCUGGUGACUUCAGACCAUUGGUUCAGGACACCUCGGGAUUGUUGGUAGAUGUUUAGAUCUCUCACCUAGUGGCAGAUAUUCGGUGUAACCUUCCCACCGGGAUCCUCAUUGCUUCUCUAUGAAGUGUCUGCGGUUUACAGAUGAGGGCACACACGGGUGCUCAGAUCCACUGCACCCUGGUUCUAAAGUCCACUCUGCUUCCCCUGUGAACCCUCGGAGUUAAGAAAAGAGAU